CCUACGGGAGGCAGCAGUGGGGAAUAUUGCGCAAUGGGCGAAAGCCUGACGCAGCGACGCCGCGUGAGGGAUGAAGGUCUUCGGAUCGUAAACCUCUGUCAGCAGGGAAGAACGGUCACUGUGCUAAUCAGCAGUGAAUUGACGGUACCUGCAAAGGAAGCACCGGCUAACUCCGUGCCAGCAGCCGCGGUAAUACGGAGGGUGCGAGCGUUAAUCGGAAUUACUGGGCGUAAAGCGCUCGUAGGCGGUAUGUCAAGUCAAGGGUGAAAUCCCCGCGCUCAACGUGGGAACUGCCUUGGAAACUGGCGAGCUGGAGUGUGUGAGAGGAUGGUGGAAUUCGAGGUGUAGGGGUGAAAUCCGUAGAUAUCUGGAGGAACAUCAGUGGCGAAGGCGACUAUCUGGCACGUAACUGACGCUGAGGAGCGAAAGCGUGGGUAGCAAACAGGAUUAGAUACCCGAGUAGUC
This 465-nucleotide ribosomal RNA is filed under the name uncultured bacterium. Its description in RNAcentral is "partial 16S ribosomal RNA". It matches the Rfam family "Bacterial small subunit ribosomal RNA", at positions 338 to 795 of the family's 1533-position model. The record is from RNAcentral.